RNAcentral lists this ribosomal RNA (253 nucleotides) under uncultured bacterium. Its description in RNAcentral is "partial 16S ribosomal RNA". It matches the Rfam family "Bacterial small subunit ribosomal RNA", at positions 524 to 776 of the family's 1533-position model. The record is from RNAcentral.
UACGGGGGGAGCAAGCGUUGUUCGGAUUUACUGGGCGUAAAGGGCGCGUAGGCGGUAGCACAAGUCAGUUGUGAAAUCUCCGGGCUUAACUCGGAAAGGUCAACUGAUACUGUGCGACUAGAGUGCAGAAGGGGCAACUGGAAUUCUCGGUGUAGCGGUGAAAUGCGCAGAUAUCAGGAGGAACACCAAUUGCGAAGGCAGCUCGCUGGGACGUUACUGACGCCGAGACGCGAAAGCGUGGGGAGCAAACAGG